This is a long non-coding RNA of Oncorhynchus tshawytscha (Chinook salmon), 1910 nucleotides long. NCBI's taxonomy places the organism in Eukaryota, Metazoa, Chordata, Actinopteri, Salmoniformes, Salmonidae. The record is from Ensembl.
CUCCACCAGUCAUACAAAGAGAAUGGUUUAAUGCCUCCCAUCAAAAUGAACCAAAGGGAAUUACAUUAUUAUAAGGCAGGUAAUCAAGGAGGUGAUGGAGUCCAGGUGAGUGUCAUAAUGCGCGUGCCGAUGGUGACAGGUGUGCAGCAUAACGAGCAGCUUGGUAACCUAGAGGCCGGAGAGGGAGCACACUUGACACCAGGUCCCAUGUACUUUUUUAACUCCUCGCAACUGCAGUGGCCAAAACAACAACAAGUUUGAGCUCUGGUAUUGUGCCUGGCGGACCAUGCACAAGCUCCACCACAGUCUGGACCUUCACUUCCUGAUCACAGGCCACACCAAGUUUGCCCCCAACUGGUGUUACGGCCUCUUCAACCAGCGCUUCAGAAAGACCAGAGUGGACACUUUGUCUGAGAUUUCUGGUGUUGUGAAGGACAUCACUGUGACAGGGGUCAACAUCCCACAGCUGGUUGGACUGGAGGAUGGUACAGUGCUGGUGGAAAGCUAUGGCUGGCAACAACAUCUGCUGCCACAGUUCAAGCAGUACCAGCACUUCAGCUUCAAAGCUCUGGAGCCUGGACGCCAAGGAGCGUUCGGACUCCGUCAACACCAGGUUUCAGCUGCUGCGCAACACUGAAAUGCUUCCUUCCGUAGAUGGUCUCCCGGUACAAGCACCACCUGGACUGGACACAGCUAGACGAACUUAAGAUUUUGAGAAGAUCAGAGUUUUGUGAUGAGGAGGCUAUGGACAUCACAUGCCCUGUACCAAAGUCAAGGGAAGGACAGAAAUUGAAUUUUUCCUUAUUGUAGGCUACUACUUUCACCACUUUUAGGUUUAGUCUUUACUACACUACUCACUGAUUAGCACAUGACCUCACAUGUGAAUCCUUAAAGAGAUGGGUGGGGCCGGCUUAAGAGGGUGUGAACAAUGCUAAAUGGGUAUAGACAAAAGGAGAGCACUCUGGUAGGUACCAAAUAAACUGCAUGCUUUCCCAAUGAGCAGUAGUGGGAGGACCACACAACAUGUCAUCGCGUGACUCCAAGUUCAUUUCAAUAUUUGUGCAUAAAUGCUUUUUCACAGUAAUUUCUUGCAUAAUUAAUUUUACCAACACAAAAAGAUCCCACCUUGUGUAGCGUAUUUAGUUUUGUUGACAGAAAUGUUUUAUUUUCCAUCAGGCCUGUCAUUACAUUUUUUAUCUGACAUGUACUUUACUCGUGGAAAAAGCUUGGAUGGAACCCUGGUUAGUGACCCUGUAGCGGGUCCAGAUUUGAGUUGUAUCAGCUUGAACAUUUGGAGUAAUGCCCCCCACUAAGCCACACCUCCAAUAUACUUUCCCAGUGUGCUUUGCUUUUCGAGUGGAUUGUAGAGUUACCACCCAAGACUGUAUGUGUUAGUGUCAGAGAGGGUUGUUGAUUUUAUUCAUUUUUGUUCUAUGGCACUCCCCAAAUUAGUUCCUAGGUGAAUGUAAUCAUUCAAAUGGAAGACUUUAUGGCAGUACAUGUAUCAUGAGGGCUUGUUUUGAGGCCCUAGCUUUAUCCUAAUGCAGUGGCCUAAAACUCAUGGUUUUACAGGCCUAAUCAGUCCUCCAGGUAGGGAUGUAGGAUUCCAGGGACUUUGGGCCAGUAAUCGAAAGGUUGUUAGAUCAAAUCCCUGAGCCGACAAGGUAAAAAUCUGUCAUUCUGCCCCUGAACAAGGCAGUUUACCCACUGUUCCUAAGCUGCCAUUGUAAUAAGUGUGUUCAUAACUGACUUGCCUAGUUAAAAAGGUAAAAAAUGAAUUAAAAUGGGUGCAAAAACAUAUAACAAAAUAGAAUGACUUCUCAUUUUGUUUUGAGUCAGUACCACAAACAUUUGAAGUAUUAAUGAUGUUUCAUUGACUUUGAGUUCAACUUACUACUUGUGGUUCAACU